Long non-coding RNA from Musa acuminata subsp. malaccensis (wild Malaysian banana), 582 nucleotides. RefSeq lists it as uncharacterized. Lineage: Eukaryota; Viridiplantae; Streptophyta; Magnoliopsida; Zingiberales; Musaceae. The record is from RefSeq and is a predicted model, not a curated record.
ACCAGAAAUCUUUCCUCCGAAAUCGUCGUAGGUGCUCAUCUUCCACCCUAUUCCGAUCUUCACUCUCGCUCAAAUUUCUUUGAUGGAUGUUGGACUUCGACAAUCCCAGUCCCAGAUAACCUAAAUCCUUGCCGCUUCGACUUGGGUUCCCAUUAAUUCGACCUAUAUUUGAUUGACCCGUAUCCUUUUUCUUCCUUUCUUUUCAAGGUUGUAGCUUUUGACUCGGCCUGACAUGACCUAAUUCUCACCCUUCUUUUUCUGGUGCAUGCAGCUGCAGAAUUGCUUGGAUCUCGGAAUAGCUGGAGUUCAAUGGCAACUCCGAUAGUUGCAAGUCUAUCGGUGGCUGUGGCUGCGGCUAGAUAUUUGAUUCAGGCAUUUGAAGCUCUCCCUGUUGUUCCUGUUUCAGAGAGCAUGCUCAAUUUGACAAGAUCAAGUUCAUAGAAGAGUGAUGGUAGCUAACCAUCCUGAUAGUGGAGGAAGCCAUUACCUUGCUUCCCAGAUCAAUGAAGCAAAGGAUAUGUUGGUUGAUACAUUGAGAGGAUUCGAUUAAAUUAAUGGCAUAAUUUGAAGUUUCAUGUAAAA